RNAcentral lists this small RNA (62 nucleotides) under Escherichia coli. RNAcentral describes it as "partial RtT sRNA". It matches the Rfam family "RtT RNA", at positions 63 to 130 of the family's 130-position model. From Rfam's summary of the family: This family represents a bacterial cis-regulatory element known as RtT RNA. The exact function of RtT is unknown although it is thought that it may be involved in changing the cellular response in relation to amino acid starvation. Lineage: Bacteria; Pseudomonadati; Pseudomonadota; Gammaproteobacteria; Enterobacterales; Enterobacteriaceae. The record is from RNAcentral.
UAACGUUGCGCCAGCAACGGCCCGAAGGGCGAGCGAAGCGAGUCAUCCUGCACGACCCACCA